This 301-nucleotide ribosomal RNA is filed under the name uncultured bacterium. RNAcentral's name for it is "partial 16S ribosomal RNA". It matches the Rfam family "Bacterial small subunit ribosomal RNA", at positions 509 to 807 of the family's 1533-position model. The record is from RNAcentral.
CAGUCGCCGCGGGAAUACAGAGGGUGCAAGCGUUAAUCGGAAUUACUGGGCGUAAAGCGUGCGCAGGCGGUUAUAUAAGACAGAUGUGAAAUCCCCGGGCUCAACCUGGGAACUGCAUUUGUGACUGUAUAGCUAGAGUACGGCAGAGGGGGAUGGAAUUCCGCGUGUAGCAGUGAAAUGCGUAGAUAUGCGGAGGAACACCGAUGGCGAAGGCAAUCCCCUGGGCCUGUACUGACGCUCAUGCACGAAAGCGUGGGGAGCAAACAGGAUUAGAUACCCCGGUAGUCCCUGUCUCUUAUAC